This is a long non-coding RNA of Stegostoma tigrinum, 1345 nucleotides long. RefSeq lists it as uncharacterized. The record is from RefSeq and is a predicted model, not a curated record. Lineage: Eukaryota; Metazoa; Chordata; Chondrichthyes; Orectolobiformes; Stegostomatidae. The transcript has 2 exons.
UCAAGCUUCAAUGAAAACUUGUCAUAAUGGCUGCUGGAGAGCUUCAUACAGAAGCUGGAUUGUUAGCAAUAUCAGGCCAAAUCAGCUUAGCAGUCUCAUCUCAGUACAGAAGGUUGUAAUUUAUUUCUCAAAAGAAAAAGUGCACAAUGCUAAUCCAGACCAAAACAGACUACAACGCCGAGAAAUGUCAAAUUAUCAAAGAUGCUACCAGAUCUGCUGACUUUUUCAAAAAUUUCUGUUUUUGUUACUGCGCUGAAUGCAUCAUAACUUAAAUACCAGGAAUAUUGGCCAACGUUUGCUGUUGACACUUCAACUAUCUCAACAUGACAAAGAAAACACGACGAGCACAAAACACAUUCUGAUGUCAAAGAUGAUAUUGACUGAAGAUGUUAACUGUUUCUGCUUCUUUCUCCACAGAUGCUGACAGUCCUGCAGAGUUUUUGUUUUUGUUUAAGAUCUCCAGAAUCCACCAUGUUUUGCGUCUCCAAAAUUUCAAUAUUUGCUGAAGAAAAUUAACCUUUCAAAAAAUUGAACAUGCAAAGGUUUCCUUGCAUUUACAUGGAAAUGCAUCUGAAAAAAAAAAUCUUUCCACCAGAAUGAGAACCGUGCAUUAGUGUUUUUCUAAAUAAGCAGUGGCUCCAAAAAAAGAUUGAAAUGACACAAAAAAAAAUCAUUGCUAAAACACAAAUUGUGAUUUUUUUUAAACCAUUGCAUUUGGAGCACCUCAUGUGACUUAACAUUACAACAUAUAGGACCGUUGAAUUCAGUAAGCCAAUAGCAGUUGGCAAGGCAAAUAUUGUCAAAAUGCCAGGAGUUAAAUAAGUUCACAGCGUCAUGCAAUGUCAGCUGCACUGGGCAUGUUCCAGCAGUUUCCUUCAUUUUCCAAUUGCACUGACUGUUGUUUCCUUUCAAGGGAUAUGGCAUUCAGAAGCACUUAGCAAAAACACAUGCCUUGGUUGAUCAACUAACUUAACAUCAUCACAUAAUUUCACUCCCAAAAAAUUCUUACUGGGGUGCAAAUUGAUUUGUCUACCUCAAAAGGUGAUACAUGAACAUGAAAGGAUUCAAAACUGUGGUCUGAAAUGCAUAAGCAAUACCCUAUUUCAACUUCAAAAAACUGAGCAUAAUGUUAAGUGGAAUGACAAGCCCCCACAGUGCUACUUAAAAAGCACCAGAAACUAUCUACUAUCUUAAUUGUGAGAUUACUUUUUCUGACUGCUGUGCAAAUGUUUUUAGAACUUGACUACAGUUCGAAGUAGUUUGAAUAAUCCACAAAACAAAAAAAAUGAUUUGAAUGCUGUUAUCAGAACUACUUUUUGUUCAGAUUAAAUUUGCCUUGAAACAA